GAGAGUUUGAUCCUGGCUCAGGACGAACGCUGGCGGCGUGCUUAACACAUGCAAGUCGAACGAGAAGAGAUGAGAAGCUUGCUUCUUAUUAAUUCGAGUGGCAAACGGGUGAGUAACGCGUAAGCAACCUGCCCUUCAGAUGGGGACAACAGCUGGAAACGGCUGCUAAUACCGAAUACGUUCUUUUUGUCGCAUGGCAGAGGGAAGAAAGGGAGGCUCUUCGGAGCUUUCGCUGAAGGAGGGGCUUGCGUCUGAUUAGCUAGUUGGAGGGGUAACGGCCCACCAAGGCGACGAUCAGUAGCCGGUCUGAGAGGAUGAACGGCCACAUUGGGACUGAGACACGGCCCAGACUCCUACGGGAGGCAGCAGUGGGGAAUCUUCCGCAAUGGACGAAAGUCUGACGGAGCAACGCCGCGUGAACGAUGACGGCCUUCGGGUUGUAAAGUUCUGUUAUACGGGACGAAUGGUACGACGGUCAAUACCCGUCGUAAGUGACGGUACCGUAAGAGAAAGCCACGGCUAACU
RNAcentral lists this ribosomal RNA (525 nucleotides) under swine fecal bacterium FPC65. RNAcentral describes it as "bacterial SSU rRNA". It matches the Rfam family "Bacterial small subunit ribosomal RNA", at positions 7 to 502 of the family's 1533-position model. The record is from RNAcentral.